Heterocephalus glaber (naked mole-rat) is the source of this 190-nucleotide small nuclear RNA. Its record names the gene U4. It matches the Rfam family "U4 spliceosomal RNA". From Rfam's summary of the family: U4 small nuclear RNA (U4 snRNA) is a component of the major U2-dependent spliceosome. The structure of U4 snRNA from yeast and human has been reported. U4 snRNA presents a k-turn RNA motif in the 5p-SL related to recognition of Snu13 protein. The record is from Ensembl. NCBI's taxonomy places the organism in Eukaryota, Metazoa, Chordata, Mammalia, Rodentia, Bathyergidae.
CGCUUUGUGCAGUGUCAGUAUUGUAGCCAAUGAGGUGUGUCCGAGGUGCAAUUAUUGCUAAUUGGAAGGUACCCCUGCAGGGUUUGGGGAGCAUCAACUUUGAGGAAUCAGUGUGAUACCUUGGAGUCUCCAGAGAAGUUCUAAAACACUUCCCACUUAGGCCUUUAUUUUAAAGAUUCUCUCCUUGAGU